This 582-nucleotide ribosomal RNA is filed under the name uncultured bacterium. RNAcentral's name for it is "bacterial SSU rRNA". It matches the Rfam family "Bacterial small subunit ribosomal RNA", at positions 56 to 684 of the family's 1533-position model. The record is from RNAcentral.
UGCAAGUCGAGCGCGCCCUUCGGGGUGAGCGGCGGACGGGUGAGUAACGCGUGGGAAUAUGCCCUUCUCUAAGGAAUAGCCUCUGGAAACGGAGAGUAAUACCUUAUACGCCCUUUGGGGGAAAGAUUUAUCGGAGAAGGAUUAGCCCGCGUUAGAUUAGGUAGUUGGUGGGGUAAUGGCCUACCAAGUCUACGGUCUAUAGCUGGUUUUAGAGGAUGAUCAGCAACACUGGGACUGAGACACGGCCCAGACUCCUACGGGAGGCAGCAGUGGGGAAUCUUAGACAAUGGGCGCAAGCCUGAUCUAGCCAUGCCGCGUGUGUGAUGAAGGUCUUAGGAUCGUAAAGCACUUUCGCCAGGGAUGAUAAUGACAGUACCUGGUAAAGAAACCCCGGCUAACUCCGUGCCAGCAGCUGCGGUAAUACGGAGGGGGUUAGCGUUGUUCGGAAUUACUGGGCGUAAAGCGUACGUAGGCGGAUCAGAAAGUUAGGGGUGAAAUCCCGAGGCUCAACCUCGGAACUGCCUCUAAAACUCCUGGUCUUGAGUUCGAGAGAGGUGAGUGGAAUUCCAAGUGUAGAGGUGA